UGGGGAAUAUUGGACAAUGGGCGCAAGCCUGAUCCAGCCAUACCGCGUGGGUGAAGAAGGCCUUCGGGUUGUAAAGCCCUUUUGUUGGGAAAGAAAUCCAGCUGGCUAAUACCCGGUUGGGAUGACGGUACCCAAAGAAUAAGCACCGGCUAACUUCGUGCCAGCAGCCGCGGUAAUACGAAGGGUGCAAGCGUUACUCGGAAUUACUGGGCGUAAAGCGUGCGUAGGUGGUCGUUUAAGUCCGUUGUGAAAGCCCUGGGCUCAACCUGGGAACUGCAGUGGAUACUGGGCGACUAGAGUGUGGUAGAGGGUAGCGGAAUUCCUGGUGUAGCAGUGAAAUGCGUAGAGAUCAGGAGGAACAUCCAUGGCGAAGGCAGCUACCUGGACCAACACUGACACUGAGGCACGAAAGCGUGGGGAGCAAACAGGAUUAGAUACCCUGGUAGUCCACGCCCUAAACGAUGCGAACUGGAUGUUGGGUGCAAUUUGGCACGCAGUAUCGAAGCUAACGCGUUAAGUUCGCCGCCUGGGGAGUACGGUCGCAAGAC
RNAcentral lists this ribosomal RNA (548 nucleotides) under uncultured bacterium. Its description in RNAcentral is "bacterial SSU rRNA". It matches the Rfam family "Bacterial small subunit ribosomal RNA", at positions 355 to 894 of the family's 1533-position model. The record is from RNAcentral.